UUUGAUAGAGCACUUUCUCUCCUUCUUUCCUUCGAACCAGCCACUAUAGCUCUCGCCGGAUACCCAAGCCAGUAGACGUUGCCGUUUUCGCUUCAUCCAGUGCCACAAGUGUCCGUCGUCUUCCACCCAGCCACGCAGUUCGAUUUGCGGGUCGCUGCAUUGUCGGUGUUAGCAGAUGAACCCAAGACGGCAUCUUCUUCCCUCCGGCUCAGCCAACCAAGUUUGCGUUUUGAGUAUCGAUUCCUCCCACCCGCUUCCUUCCCUGUGCCGGACCCUUGCGGUGGUCGUCGGACUGCUGUCGGAGCGUCAUCGCAGUGUCGCCGGACCAAAAACAGUCCCACUUGGUCCCUUCCCUUGAUGAUAUUUUAUGGACUUGCAAAUCUCUUUUUCCAGAGACUAGAAAUGAACAAAUUAUCUAAGGAUGUGUCUUCGUUUGUAAAUUCCCUUAGUCUUUCUUUGAUUUUCAUUGGAAACCCUGGUCUAUGUAGCUAUUGGCUGGAUUCAUCUUGUUAAGGGUCUCACCCUACCGAGCAAGGCAAGAGAAGGUCAAACGCAAGAGAGUACAAGCAACAAAAGAAUCUAGUAGCAAACCGCAAGAUGCUAUUAAGGAGAACCAACAAUAGCCAGAUAUGACUGAACUCGCCAAGGGUCUCCCAAGUAAUUGGCAGCAUUUCCAAUUGGAUCCAUCAGACGUCCUUCAUCUGAAACAAAUUGAGCUCAAUGCAUUUCUAGAAGGCUUGUAUGCAACGCCAACAAACCGAAUAAACACUUCGUCCAUACCGGUCAUUCCACCGAACCCCAUUGAAGACAACAAAAUAGAGGACAUACUAAGGAAGCUUGUCAAUUCCUCAUGCCAACGUUAUCUUUCUCAACAUUGUAACUCAUCCAUUGCUCCAUGUU
Long non-coding RNA from Vigna angularis (adzuki bean), 900 nucleotides. RefSeq lists it as uncharacterized. The transcript is spliced from 5 exons. The record is from RefSeq and is a predicted model, not a curated record. NCBI's taxonomy places the organism in Eukaryota, Viridiplantae, Streptophyta, Magnoliopsida, Fabales, Fabaceae.